GAACCCUAAACUGCAUGCACACAAACACAUUUGAACCGCCUAAUCAAGUUGAAUAGAAGUUGAAUAGUUGAUAUUUCAAACUUGGUAUUAUAUAGAUAUAAAAAAAAACAAAGAGAUGUGGACCACCAAAGCAUGCGGUCACAGUGCACACAAUCUAAAUUGAAUAUACUGAAAAUUUAAGCAUACAUAAUAAUAAUGCAACAUUAUUACCAUGGUGCGGGUGUUAGGUUUUAAUGGAACAGGACUUGACCAUAUACGGACCCUCUCUACCCAUCUUUUUCCAGACUUGGGCCUGGAAAGUUGUUGCAGGGCUGUUGGAAGGUUGAGGAUGGGCAGCAUCGUUUGCUUUAAAGGUAAUGUAAUAAGUAGGGGGAAAUGGACUAUAGGCUGCCUUGACAAGUUCAUCAAACACGAAAUUUGAACCCUAAAUAAGAAAGAAAGAUUAAUGAAGUUGAUGAAUGAAUAAACUAUUAUGUAUANNNNNNNNNNNNNNNNNNNNNNNNNNNNNNNNNNNNNNNNNNNNNNNNNNNNNNNNNNNNNNNNNNNNNNNNNNNNNNNNNNNNNNNNNNNNNNNNNNNNNNNNNNNNNNNNNAUGCUAAGGGUGGAAUAGGAAUAGCAUCGAAGGGCUGUGCAGGAUGAGAGUAAGAUAUUAAUAAUAAUAUAAAAAACAAAAUGAAACACAAAAUAAGAUAGAAAGAAAAAGAUACGUACAGAUACGUCACGAGAGAGCUCUAAAUACUCAGCGAGGGCUUUCUCUAUCUCCUCCUCUCUUUUAAGAAAAGCUUUAUUCUUAUACACAAAUUGCGUACAUGAAAACCAAAAAAGAGAAGGGUCAUCGUCAUAACGGCUAGCCAAAUCAUUCACCGUCAGCUUUUCAAUUGGUAUUAACUCCCAAUCCGAUCUCGGGUCUAAUUCCGGUUCCGAUUCAGAUUCCGGUUCCUGUUCCGGUACCAGUUCUGGAUCCUGUUACGGUAACAGUUCUGGUUCCUGUUCCGGCACCAGUUCCGACUCCGAUUCCGAUUCGAGUACGAAUUCGGAUUCGGAUUCAUAUUCGGAUUCAUAUUCGGAUUCCGUAUCCGAUGCAAUAUAUGGUUCCAGUACCAGUUCCGAUAGCUUAUCCGGCACCGAUUUCAGCCGAUUGUCAUCGGAGAUUUCCGGGGGUGAUUGGGUGACGGGGAGCAAGAGUGAAUCCAUGGACAUUGGGCAAGAAGGAUCAAAGGAAUCGCAAUUCAUUCAAAUUCACAUAAACCUAACUAAAGAGACUAGUCCUCUUUAAUAGGCAAUAAGAAAGCUGAGUGUUUUUAGUAUGAGCCUGGUCUUGUUUUUGAUCCGCCCAAUAACAAAUCCUAUUACAUAAUAUCUCUUUUUGCACCACAUUUUCCUUUCUUCUCCAGUGUGGGUGAUUUAUUUGUAAAAGCUACAUUUUUAUCUUAUUUAAUUAUAAUAUUUGGGUACAAGUCUUUUAUCUUUUAAAAAACUUACAAGUUAUUAUUUUUAUUUUUAUUUUUUUAUUAAGAAAUAUUGAAAUGACAUACAAUAUAUGAUGAUUUUAAGAAAAAGAGGAUUCUACCUUGGUGUAUCUAAAUGUAUCACUUCCUUAAUUAAUGUGAAAAUAUAAUUUUAUUUUUUAAUUUUUUUAGCAUCUUAUUUUUUCCACCAUUCUUUUCAGAAUAUUCGAAAGUUUUAAAAUGAAAAUUUUUAAAUUUUCGAAAAUUUAAAACAAUUGAAAAUUUCCGAAAUAGAAAAUUCUAAAAUUUUUAAAACUUCCGAAAUAUGAAAAUUUCGAAACUUUUCAAAAUUAGAAACUUUCUAAACUUUUCAAAUUUUCAACAUAUAAUCCUUAUUUAGAAAUUUUUCAUAUUAGGAAACUUUCGAAAAUUACAAGAUUUAGAAACUUUUGAAACCUUCAAAUUUUUUUAAAUGUAAUCCUUAUUUUGAAAAUUUGAAACUUAUAAAAGUUUCAAAAAUUGGAAACUUCCAAAACUAUUAAAUUUAAAACUUACUAUAAAUGACGAAAAAGAUAAAACUAUAUUUUCAUAUAUCUUGAGGGAGUGACAAGAUUAAGUGUGAGGUGACACGUGAAAUCCUUGAAAAAAAAUGUAUAGGAAAGCUAGUUUGUUGACACCUCUCUUUUCUUGGAAUUAGAUAUUAGAAUAGACUAUGUCGUCGGUUAGUGGCAUGUGGUCUGACCUACUUAUAGAUAUGCGAAUAGGCUAGGCCGCCGGUCUGGCAUAUUUAAUAAAAAAGGUUAGGCUCAUGCUAUUUUUAAAGCUUAUUUAUUUAAAUAGAUCAUGUUCAAGCUUAUAAAAAAGCCUAUUAUGCCUAACAGGGCGGCCUAUAUUUAUUUUACUAUUUAUUAAUGUUAUUUUUAUAUUGUUAUAUUAAUAAUAGUAUUUCCUAUUUUAAAAUCUAUCAAUUAAACAACCACUCAGUAAUAAUUCUAUAUUUCAGUAGUUGUUUCAUAUUCGGUAACAAUUCUAUAUUCGGUAGUCAUUCUAUAUUCGAUAGCCGUUUAAUUAGUCAAUAAAAAAUUUAUUAUUUAAAAUCAAAAGUUAUUUUUUUGGUUUUAGAGGAUAUUUGUUUCAGAUUUUUUUAAAUUUAUUUUGUUACAAAAUUUAUUUUUUGUUUAAUAUAUAUAGAUAUAUAGACAUUUAUAUUGGUAUGUGGAGUGUAUCAUGUGGUAUUAGUACAGUAUUUAAAUAUUUUAAUGUAAAUAAGGCUUUUAAAUAUGCUUUCAAGUCAGACCAGACUUUUUAAAAAGGCUAAGAUCGAAAAAAAAGUCUAUGAUAGGUCGUAGGCCUAAAAAAUAAAGGAUUUUGUACCACGCACCCCCCAUUUUUACCUCCCACCCCCUCAAUCAUGUGUAAAAGACCAUUUUACCCUCAAUUUCAUCUAUUAAAAUCCAAAAAAAAAAUUGACUUUCUUUUUUUACCCAAUUUCUUCCAAAGUUUGUAAUAUCUGAAUCUGAUCCUACUCACCCCUCGAACAUUUGAAACUUCUGAAUCUCAAAAGUAAGUAAAAAUUCGAAUAUUUCAAAUAUUCGAAAUGUAUGAAACCCCAAAUCGUUCGAAAGUUUGUAUCAUGUUGAAAGUUUCAAAAUGGAAGUCUCGAAAGUUUGAAAGUUUAGAAACAUAGAAACUUUCGAAAGUUUCAUGGAAUUAGAAAGUUUUGAAAUGGUUGAUGCUCGAAGAAAUGAAAAUUUCGAAAUAGAGGUCGAGAAUAUAAAAGUUUUGAAUGAUGAAACUUUCCAAGUAUAUUUUUCCCAUAAAUAAUGAAACUUUCGAAAUGCAAAAUUUUGCAAAACUUUCGAUAUAUGUUGAGUUUCGAAAAUUUGGUAUUAAUGGAAAGUUUCGAAAUACAUUUUUAUUAGUAAUAAAUAGUAAUAAAUUAAUAGUAAUAAAUAAUAAUAAAUUUAUAAUAAUAAAUUUAUGCUAAUAAAUUAAUACUAAUGAUAAAUUUGAUAUUUAAUUUCGAAAGUUUCAGUCAUUUUUUAAAAAAAAUUGAAAGUUUCAAAUUCAUCCAAACUUUGGGAGUUUUCUGGAAAAAAUACACUUCGAAAAUUUCGUAUUUAUCCAAAGUUUUGAAAUUUCUGGAAUAUUUCAUUUCGAAAGUUUGGUAUUUUUCCAAAGUUUUGAAAUUAGUAAUUUUUUCUGCAUAAUUACAUUUCAAAAGUUUCCAAUUUAACAAAACAUUCGAAAGUUGAGGUGGAAAACUGAAAUGGAAAUUUUUUCCAUAAUUUUAUACAAAUUAAAUAAGGGUAAAAUAGUCUUUAAAAAAAUUGGAGGGGUGGGAGGUAAAAAUGGGGGGUGCGUGGUAGAUAACCCAAAAAUAAAUCGUAUGCUAGACUCAUGCCUUUCAAAGCAUGGCCUAGCUUGGCUAUUCUCACCCCUACCUAUUUAUGGUCUGAUCUGGUGUGGUCUGACCUAUUUAAUAAAGAUGACAGGCUUAUGCUAUUUUUAAAGCCUAUUUAUUUAAAUAGGUCAAGUUCAUACUUAUAAAAAAAGCAUAUUAGGUCUGAUAGGUCGACAUAUAAAUAUAUAUAUAUAUAUAUAUAUAUAUUAUUAAUUUUAUUUUGUAUUAUUUUUUAUUUAUAAUAUUAUUUCAUAUUUUAAAGUCAAUCAAUUAGACAAUCACUAAGUAGUCGUUCCAUAUUCAAUAGCAAUAUCAUAUUCGGUAAUCGUUCCAUAUUCGAUAGCCGUUCAAUUAGACAAUCAUUUAGUGGUUGUUCCACAUUUGUUUGAGAGGAAAUAAAUGGUGCAUUUGUUCCAGGAAAAAAUGUUAUUUGAAAUCAAAAAUCAUUUUAGGGUUUAAAUGGUGUUUGUUUCAGAUUUUUUUUAAAUCAUUUUGUUAGAAAAAUCAUUUUUUGUUUAAUACAUAUAGAUAUGUAAAAUAUUACAUUAAAAUAUUUUAAUAUUAAUAAAGUUUUUAAAUAGGCUUUCAAAUCAGACCAGACCAUACUUUUAAAAAGGUCAGACCGAAAAACAACAAAAUCUAUGAUAGGUCGUAGGCCAAACUUAGACCUAAAAAAUUAAUCUAUAAUAUGUCAGACUCAGUCUUUCAAAAUCUGGUUUGGCAUGUGUUCUAUUCCCACCCUUACUUGGAAUGAAAGCAUGCCUUGCUGGAAAAUAGCAAAAAAGAAGCUCUCGCUCUUCUGACCACAAGAAUGAAUUGUUCUUUCCUAAGGUUUUUGACCACUUCAAAGUCCUACCCUUUUUUAUUUUUUUUAAAGUUUUUUUUAUUAAAAAUAACAAAAGCAAAAACUUCAGUAUUAUAUUCAUGCUGAAUUUGAAAAUAAAUCAAUUCAAAAAUAAAACAUAUUUAUUUUAUAUGCAUGGAUAAUGUAAAUAUUUUAUAUAUUAUCAAUCAACUACAAUUGUUAAAUCAUUAGAGAUAUUUGACAUUAUUAUAAUUAUAUUUAAAGUCAUACAUAUGAAUGAAUGUAACAGGAUGAUAAUAUAUAAUUUUGUACAUUACAUUGAUUGAGAAUUAAACUCAUAAAAAUGAAAACUCAAAAUUAAACCUUACAUUUAUUAAACCUGUGAAAAAAAUGAAAAUAAAACAAUAUAAUUCAAAUAAAGUUUAAUGGUCGUGCAUCGUCGGUGUAAACAGAUUUAUACUAAUAAUUAACACGAGCCAUGAAUUGUGUAGUUAUUUAUUGAUGAAAGUUAGAAUCAUAUUACGAAAUAGUUAAAUCAAUUAUUCUUAUUAAUAGUUAAUUUCAGGUAGCGAAUACUAGUUAAUUGCAAAAUUACAUAAUCAUGAUGUACAAAAUGUAUAACUUACGUGAUUAAAAUUCCUAUUAAACACAUUUUUAACAUGCUAUAAAAUAACUCCAAGUAUAAAAAACUUCAUUAACCACUUAAUAAUUACUUUUUGACAAGACAAUAACCACAUUUUUAACUUAUUAUAAAAAUGACCACAACUAUAUAAAGUUUUGCAUUAACCAUUAAAUUGAAUAUACUAAAAAUUUAAGCAUACAUGAUAAUAAUGCAACAUAAUUACCAUGGUGCGGGUGUUAGGUUUUAAUGGAACAGGACUUGACCAUAUACGGACCCUUUCUAGCCACCAUGUUCCAGACUUGGGCCUGGAAAGUUGUUGCAGGGCUGUCGGAAGGUUGAGGAUGGGCAGCAUCGUUUGCUUUAAAGGUAAUGUAAUAAGUAGGGG
Molecule: long non-coding RNA, 5664 nt
Filed under: Cicer arietinum (chickpea)
Lineage: Eukaryota; Viridiplantae; Streptophyta; Magnoliopsida; Fabales; Fabaceae
Description: long non-coding RNA (CARI_LNC001634)
Source: RNAcentral